Molecule: unclassified non-coding RNA, 231 nt
Filed under: plant metagenome
Description: partial contains small subunit ribosomal RNA, internal transcribed spacer 1, and 5.8S ribosomal RNA
Source: RNAcentral
UCUCCGUUGGUGAACCAGCGGAGGGAUCAUUACUGAGUUACCGCUCUACAACCUUUUGUGAACAUACCUAACUGUUGCUUCGGCGGGCAGAGGUCCCUCGCGGAUCUCUCCCGGCAACGCCCUCACGGGCGGAGCGCCCGCCGGAGGAUACCAAACUCUAUUUUAACGACGUUUCUUCUGAGUGGCACAAGCAAAUAAUUAAAACUUUUAACAACGGAUCUCUUGGUUCUG